AUUGAACGCUGGCGGCAUGCUUUACACAUGCAAGUCGAACGGCAGCGCGGGCUUUGGCCUGGCGGCGAGUGGCGAACGGGUGAGUAAUACAUCGGAACGUGCCCAGUAGUGGGGGAUAGCUCGGCGAAAGCCGGAUUAAUACCGCAUACGACCUGAGGGUGAAAGCGGGGGAUCUUCGGACCUCGCGCUAUUGGAGCGGCCGAGGGCAGAUUAGCUAGUUGGUGGGGUAAAGGCCUACCAAGGCGACGAUCUGUAGCUGGUCUGAGAGGACGACCAGCCACACUGGAACUGAGACACGGCCCAGACUCCUACGGGAGGCAGCAGUGGGGAAUUUUGGACAAUGGGCGAAAGCCUGAUCCAGCAAUGCCGCGUGUGUGAUGAAGGCCUUCGGGUUGUAAAGCACUUUUGGCGGGAACGAAAAGGACUGUGCCAAUACCACGGUUCGAUGACGGUACCCGCAGAAUAAGCACCGGCUAACUACGCG
RNAcentral lists this ribosomal RNA (484 nucleotides) under uncultured bacterium. RNAcentral describes it as "partial 16S ribosomal RNA". It matches the Rfam family "Bacterial small subunit ribosomal RNA", at positions 29 to 507 of the family's 1533-position model. The record is from RNAcentral.